GACGAACGCUGGCGGCGUGCUUAACACAUGCAAGUCGAACGGUGAAGCGCCUUCCUUUUUGGUGGGUGUGGAUGAGUGGCGAACGGGUGAGUAACACGUGAGUAACCUGCCCCCUUCUUCUGGAUAACCGCAUGAAAGUGUGGCUAAUACGGGAUAUUCUGGGUCUGUCGCAUGAUGGGUCUGGGAAAGAUAUUGUUUCGGAGGGGGAUGGGCUCGCGGCCUAUCAGCUUGUUGGUGGGGUGAUGGCCUACCAAGGCGGUGACGGGUAGCCGGCCUGAGAGGGUGGACGGUCACACUGGGACUGAGACACGGCCCAGACUCCUACGGGAGGCAGCAGUGGGGAAUAUUGCACAAUGGGCGCAAGCCUGAUGCAGCGACGCCGCGUGAGGGAUGGAGGCCUUCGGGUUGUGAACCUCUUUCGCCAGUGAAGCAGGCCUGCCUCGUUUGUGGGUGGGUUGACGGUAGCUGGAUAAGAAGCGCCGGCUAACUACGUG
RNAcentral lists this ribosomal RNA (494 nucleotides) under uncultured bacterium. RNAcentral's name for it is "partial 16S ribosomal RNA". It matches the Rfam family "Bacterial small subunit ribosomal RNA", at positions 28 to 507 of the family's 1533-position model. The record is from RNAcentral.